Molecule: non-coding RNA, 84 nt
Organism: Bombyx mori (domestic silkworm)
Lineage: Eukaryota; Metazoa; Arthropoda; Insecta; Lepidoptera; Bombycidae
Source: Rfam
UGCAUUCAAAUCUGUAUGCAGUUGGAACGUUUGCCUACGUUUACCGCUAGGAGCGUUGUCCCAACUGCAUACAAAUUUGACUUA